UCACAAUUAACGGUGGAUCA
Molecule: ribosomal RNA, 20 nt
Filed under: Aceria parapopuli
Lineage: Eukaryota; Metazoa; Arthropoda; Arachnida; Trombidiformes; Eriophyidae
Description: partial 5.8S ribosomal RNA
Source: RNAcentral